Molecule: ribosomal RNA, 164 nt
Filed under: Jurinea microcephala
Lineage: Eukaryota; Viridiplantae; Streptophyta; Magnoliopsida; Asterales; Asteraceae
Description: 5.8S ribosomal RNA
Rfam family: 5.8S ribosomal RNA
About the family: 5.8S ribosomal RNA (5.8S rRNA) is a component of the large subunit of the eukaryotic ribosome. It is transcribed by RNA polymerase I as part of the 45S precursor that also contains 18S and 28S rRNA.
Source: RNAcentral
AMACGACUCUCGGCAACGGAUAUCUCGGCUCACGCAUCGAUGAAGAACGUAGCAAAAUGCGAUACUUGGUGUGAAUUGCAGAAUCCCGUGAACCAUCGAGUUUUUGAACGCAAGUUGCGCCCGAAGCCAUUYGGCCGAGGGCACGUCUGCCUGGGCGUCACGCA